GGCGACGUAGCCAAGUGGUUAAGGCAGGGGUCUGCAAAACCCUGAUCGGCGGUUCGAAUCCGCCCGUCGCCUCCA
Molecule: transfer RNA, 75 nt
Filed under: Dehalococcoidia bacterium
Lineage: Bacteria; Bacillati; Chloroflexota; Dehalococcoidia
Also listed under: 2 other names
Description: tRNA-Cys
Rfam family: tRNA
About the family: Transfer RNA (tRNA) molecules are approximately 80 nucleotides in length.
Source: RNAcentral